GACGGAGGAUGCAAGUGUUAUCCGGAAUUACUGGGCGUAAAGCGUCUGCAGGUGGUUUCUUAAGUCCACUGUUAAACCUUGAGGCUCAACCUCAAAUCAGCAUUGGAAACUGGGAAACUUGAGUAUAGUAGGGGUAGAGGGAAUUUCCAGUGGAGCGGUGAAAUGCGUAGAUAUUGGAAAGAACACCGAUGGCGAAGGCACUCUACUGGGCUAUUACUGACACUCAGAGACGAAAGCUAGGGGAGCAAAUGGG
Molecule: ribosomal RNA, 253 nt
Filed under: uncultured bacterium
Lineage: Bacteria
Description: partial 16S ribosomal RNA
Rfam family: Bacterial small subunit ribosomal RNA
Source: RNAcentral